Long non-coding RNA from Anolis carolinensis (green anole), 1912 nucleotides. NCBI's taxonomy places the organism in Eukaryota, Metazoa, Chordata, Lepidosauria, Squamata, Anolidae. The record is from Ensembl.
GCAGAUCCCAGUAGGGUGGCCUUAUUAUUAUUAUUAUUAUUAUUAUUAUUAUUAUUAUUAUUAUUAUUAUUUCACUCUGAUAUUAUUAUUAUUGCAUUUAUUAUUUUACUCUACUUAUUAUUACUUGUAUUAUUUUCCUGUAUUUAUUAUUAUUAUUAUUACAUGUAUUAUUUUACUCUGUUAUUAUUAAAAGGAUACAUAAACACAUUUACAUUGAAGAAGAUGAGAAUAAGGAUUUGAUCAGAGUUGGACAGUCUUAUCUUAAAUAUGAGCUUGAUGUAAAUAUUCAAAAACUUUAAACUUUUAACCUACUGAUGCCUCAAUGAAUGUAAUUUUAUUGGUACAGUAGAGUCUCAUUAAUCCAACAUAAAUGGGCUGGCAGAAGCUUGGAUAAGCGAAAAUCUUGGAUAAUAAGGAGGGAUUAAGGAAAAGCCUAUUAAACAUCAAAUUAGGUUGUGAUUUUACUAAUUAAGCACCAAAACAUCAUGUUUAACAUCAAAUUUGACAGAAAAUGUAGUUCAAUACACAGUAAUGCUACGUAGUAGUUCCUGUAUUUACGAAUUUAGUACCAAAACAUCACAAUGUAUUGAAAACAUUGACUGUAAAAACAUCUAUAUAUAUAAAAGGACUAGCUGUGCCCUGCCACGCAUUGCUGUGGCCCAUUGAAAUUGCACUGAAUAGCUCCAUUUUUUUGGGGUUUUUUAGCCCCUGUGGAGGUUCGUGACGUGAUAUUUUGUGGUUUCAACCUCGAGGCGUGGAUGAUGGAUUGUGUUGUGAAAUUUCGAGGUUGGGGGUUGUUUAGUUUUGUUGUUUUGCUCGGUGCCAGGAUUCCAUCACUCUUUUAUAUAUAUAUACUAGCUGUGCCAGCCACGCGUUGCUGUGGCGAAGUAUGGUGGUAUGGGAAAUAAAGUAUUGAGGAAUUGGUUUAUAAAUGGGUUAUAUAGCUGUGUGGAAGGGCCUUGAGUCUACACUGCCAUAUAAUCCAGUGCAAAUUAGAUAAUCUGUGGAAGAGGCCUAAGUGAAGCCUAACUCUGCCUGUCCCCUGGGCUGAGUCGGUUGCUAGGAGACCAAGUGGGCAGAGCUUAGCCUUCUAACUGGCAGCAAUUGGAUAAAAGCAAUUAUUCCUCUCUCUCUCUAAUUAGGACUUUAUUUUUCUUUUCUUUUUGUUGUAUCAACCUAGAGGUGUGGAUGAUGGGUUGUGUUGUCAAAUUUCGAGGUUGGGGGGCUUGUAGUUUUGUUGUUUUGUGGGUCGCCGUGAUGCCAUCACUCUUUUAUAUAUAUGGAUAGAUAUACUCGAGUAUAAGCCAACCCAAAUAUAAGCCAAGGCACCUCAUUUUACCACACACACACACACAAAAAAAAAACCUGGGAAAACGUUGACUCCAGUAUAAGCCAAGGGUGGCAAAUUUCAGAAAUAAAAAUAGAUAUAGUAGAGUCUCACUUAGCCGACAUAAACGGGCCGUCAGAACAUUGGAUAAGUGAAUAUGUUGGAUAAUACGGAGAGAUUAAGGAGAAGCCUAUUAAACAUCAAAUUAGGUUAUGAUUUUACAAAUUAAGCACCCUAAACAUCAUGUUAUUAUUAUUAUUAUUGUCACAACAACAUAGUCUGACACAGCAAACAAGAUAGAUAUGCUGGAUUUCAUAUCACAAAAUCACAAGUCGAACACUUCCCAAGUGUCUAGGACUGUGUGAUAUAUUUUCGGCUUAUAAUUGAGUAUAUACGUUAUAUCUGUGUCCAUUCAUUUAACACAUUCUGGAAAAGAAGUAGAAGAGACUUAGAAUCAUAGAAUCAUAGAAUAGUAGAGUUGGAAGAGACCACAUGGGCCAUCCAGUCCAACCCCCUGCCAAGAAGCAGGAAAUCACAUUCAAAGCACCCCCGACAGAUGGCCAUCCAGCCUCUGCUUAAAAGCCU